Molecule: long non-coding RNA, 6077 nt
Filed under: Mytilus galloprovincialis (Mediterranean mussel)
Lineage: Eukaryota; Metazoa; Mollusca; Bivalvia; Mytilida; Mytilidae
Source: RNAcentral
AUUUAUAUAUUUUCUUGCACAUUUUGGUGAUGAUUUUGUACAUAAACAUUCUGUGAUUUUGUAUAUACUCUCAUUCAUUUGUUGAUGCAGAGAAGUGCUAUUUUCUGUUUGUUAUUGUUUUGGUUAUGUAUUCAAUAUUGUGUGUAUCAUUUAGUUAUUUAGUGUACAAGGUGCUAUGUUCAUGGGUGUUCUUUUACCCUGCGAUAUUGUAAAAUAAGGCAUAGAAAUGUCUUUAUUUGUCCCUUUCUUGGUCUUUCCAUUGGCCAGUAACACACUUCUUAUCUGAUAAAUUACUUCAAUUUUUAUGCUAAUUGGGGUGGUUUGUCAUCAUAUGCUAUUGACCGUACUAUUUCCCACUAAAAUUUAACAAUGUUUGCCAAGUAAUGGGAAUUUGACAAUUUUUGACUGAUUGCGACCUGACACUUACUGAAUCUACUCUACGACCAUUUGUCUAUAUAGGAUUCACCCACUUAUUAAAAUAGUUUUUAUCAUAUAAAGAUGACUAUACUAUAAUUCCAUUUGGACUUGACAAUUUUUGCAUGAGAUAUUUCAGUCUGACAAUUUUUGGCCUGUUUCAACAUAAAGACACAAAUAGUUGGGAAUAUUUCUCCCAACCCUUAAAAUCUCGAAAUUAGUUGAUAAAUUGUAACUCAAAAUGAAAAAGUAUUUUGCCAAAUUUUCACAACAAUCAAUAAAUUUUGAAAAAUGAUAUGGUAUCACACAACACAAUUAUAGUUCAAAUAAAGAAACAAUUCCAAGAAUAAUCAAGGUAGAAAUUCUAAAAAUGUAAUUGAAUAAAAUUAACCCUAAACUAAUAUACAUGUAUAUAUAGAUCAUCAUAUUACACACUAUUAUAUUUAGGGUAAGGGAGGGCAGGUUAAUAUUUUUCUCUUAUAUCUACCGAAAUCGUUGAUCGACCCUUCAACUCGAAAAUAAAUACAUCCUAUAUAUAAAAGAACUAAAUGUUUACCUUGUGAAAACCAAUCUUGAAGUGAAAAUUUCAGGUAUGUAAUUUAACAGGUAAAUGCAAGUGAGAAGAUUUCAACUGAUGUUUCAAUCAAAAAAUGUAUAACAGAACUUUGGUAAACAAUUUUGAAACAGUGAAGUAGAAUAAAUUUUGCAAGAAAGUAAAAUUCUUUCUCUGUAAUUAAUCAUUUUUAUUAGAAUAAAAAUUUCCAAAUGAUCACGUUUUAAUGCUUAAGGCUGCAAGAAGGGGAUAAUUACAAACUUCCAAACCAAUGAUAAUGUAAUGCCUGAUGCCACAGACUAUAGCGGCUAUUUAUAACAAUGUAUUAUGUGCCACAUCAGACAUUUUGUUUAUGUUAUGGCAUACCCUGACUGUAUCAGUAAACAUCAUUUAAUCAUAUCAGUGUACAUUAUGUCAGUAUCAAUAAACAUCAUUUAAUCAUCAGUGUACAUUAUGUCAGUGUAUCUGUAAACAUCAUGUAAGUGUAUCGGUAAACAUCAUGUAAGUGUAUCAGUAAACAUCAUGUAAGUGUUUGAAACAUCAUGUAAGUGUAUUGGUAGACAUCUUGUAAGGGUAUUGGUAAACAUCAUGUAAGUGUAUCAGUAAACAUCAUGUAAGUGUUUGAAACAUCAUGUAAGUGUAUUGGUAAACAUCUUGUAAAGGUAUUGGUACACAUCAUGUAAGUUUAUCAGCAAAUAUCUUGUAAGUGUAUUAGUAAACAUUAUGUUAGCGUUUGAAACAUCAUGUAAGUGUAUCGGUACACAUCUUGUAAGGGUUUGAAACAUCAUGUAAGUGUAUCGGUACACAUCUUGUAAGAGUUUGAAACAUCAUGUAAGUGUAUCAGUACACAUCAUGCAAGUGUUUGAAACAUUAUGUAAGUGUAUAUGUAAACAUCUUGUAAAGGUAUUCAUACACAUCUUGUAAGUGUUUGAAACAUCAUGUAAGUGUUCAGUACACAUCUUGUAAGUGUUAGAAACAUCAUGUAAGUGAAUCAGUACACAUCUUGUAAGUGUAUUGGUAAACAUCAUGUAAGUGUAUGGGUAGACAUCUUGUAAGGGUAUUGGUAAACAUCUUGUAAGUGUAUUAGUAAACAUUAUGUAAGUGUUUGAAACAUCAUGUAUGUGUAUAGGUACACAUCUUGUAAGAGUUUGAAACAUCAUGUAAGUGUAUCGGUAAACAUCAUGUAAGUGUAUUGGUAGACAUCUUGUAAGGGUAUUGGUAAACAUCUUGCAAGGGUAUUGGUACACAUCAUGUAAGUGUAUCGGUAAACAUCAUGUAAGUGUAUUGGUAAACAUCAUGUAAGUGUAUUGGUAGACAUCUUGUAAGGGUAUUGGUAAACAUCUUGUAAGUGUAUCAGUACACAUCAUGUAAGUGUAUCAGUAAACAUCUUGUAAGUGUAUCAGUACACAUCUUGUAAGUGUAUCAGUACACAUCAUGUAAGUGUAUCAGUACACAUCAUGUAAGUGUAUCAGUAUACAUCAUGUAAUUGUAUCAGUAUACAUCAUGUAAGUGUAUCAGUACACAUCAUGUAAGUGUAUCAGUAUACAUCAUGUAAUUGUAUCAGUAUACAUCAUGUAAGUGUAUCAGUAUACAUCAUGUAAUUGUAUCAGUAUACAUCUUGUUACUGUUUUGGUGUGCAUCAUGUUAGUGUAUCAGUACACAUCUUGUUACUGUAUCAGUAUACAUUAUGUAAGUGUAUUAGAACACAUCUGAUAAUCAAUUGAAAGGGACAGGUUAUUUUCUUGUUUUUCCAUUUUCCUUUGUAUUUUUAGGUUUAAAUUGUUUUUUGUCUUGUAUAGUGUAAAUGCUUCAUGUACAUAUUAAUGUUUUUACUGGAAUCCUGUUUUCAAUAGAUAUAUUUUUACAUAUAUAAUAAAGUUUAAAAUACUUAUCAACGUGACAUUUAAAAUCAAAUCAAAUCAAUUUUUAGGUAUCAGAAAUAUUCUAUUUGAUUGAUAGUUAUUGGAAAUAUUCACACAAUAAUUACCAGCUGCAUUUGUUUGCACCUGUCCUUAGUCAAGAAUUUGAUGUUCAGUAGUUGUUGUUUGUUGAUGUGGCUCACAAGUGUUUUUCAUUUCUCAUAUAGAUUAGACCGUUGGUUUUCCUGUUUGAAUGGUUUAACACUAGUAACUUUUUUGGGGUCCUUUAUAGCUUGCUGUACUGUGUGAGUUAAAGCUAUAUAAGACCAUACUUUGACCUAUAAUGGUUUACUUUACAAAUAGCAACUUGGAUGAGAGAGUUGUCUCUUUGACACUCAUACCAUAUCUUCCUAUAUCUAAAUAAGAAAAUGGUUUGGACUAUGUUUUUUUUUCACUUGUUUCAAAUCUGUGAAGCAGUAAUACACAUUUUAUGUAUUGCUUUGUGUGUUAAAGGUUGCAUUUCUGUAAAUAUAGACAAUUCAAUUUUCCAUACCAAUUCCCUUACUGUGCCACUUUCACUACAAAGUAACAUAAAAAAUUAUAUCCUAGAAUGGAAAGAUGAAAUGCACUUCUAUUUUAUUCAAAGGUCAAAACCUAGGGCUGUGCGGCACAUUUUAAACAUUUACAUGCCCUGAACUUGUUAAGAAUUUAAACAUCUACUAAAUUUCUGUACUACUUCUACCUUCUCUUUGUGCUUUACGUUUAGAAUUCAAUUUUAAUCACAAUAGUAUGUUUUUAUACUGGUAAAAGUCCCAAGUUUUGUCUAUAUGAUCAAAUCUUGGAACAGGUAUGUUUAACUAAUCAAAUUGUCAAUAAAUAUUAUCUAUCUCCCUAAAAGAGUUGUGGUUUAAGAAACAGCUGUAUUUACAAAUUGCAACCUAUUGUAAUUCAAAUUUUAACUAAUAUAUGAGUUGUAGUAACACUCACUUAAUGCAUUGCAUUGUGUGUUAUAGUAAUACCAACUUUAUGUUAUUCUUUGUGUGUUAUAGAAAAUCACUCUUUAUGUAUUGUUUUGUGUGUUAUAAUAAAAACCACUUAAUGUAUUGCUUUGUGUGUUUUUGUAAUACACACUGAAUGCAUUGCUCUGUGUGUUAUAGUAACACACACUGAAUGCAUUGCUUUUUGUGUUAUAGUAAUACACACUUAAUGUUAUACUCUGUGUGUUAUAGUAACACACACUUAAUGUAUUGCCUUGUGUGUUAUAAUAAUAAAUACUUAACACAUUGCUUUGUGUAUUAUAGUAAUACACACUUAAUGUUUUGCUUUGUGUGUUAUAGUAACACACAUUUUAUGUAUUACUCUGUGUGUAAUAGUUAUACACACUGAAUGCAUUGCUUUAAUGUGAUACAGAUAGUAGAAUUCAAAGACAAUUGUUAUAAACAGGGUAGGUUACUUCAUCCUUGUAUAUUCUGUAACAUAUGUAAAUUUUAUGUAAUUAUCAUGUAAAUAGAUCUCAUAAAUGUACAUAUGUAAAUAUUGUAAAUGGUUAGUAAUUCAGUCAGAGCUUAAACAUGUGUACUUUAUUUACUACUACUAAUUUUGAUUGUAAAUAUGGAAAUAGUUCAAUUUUACUGAUUGAGAAGGGAAAAAAUUAUCAUUUAUUAAAUAAUUAUUCACAUUUCGCUGAAAUUACUUUCCCUGUGCAAACAUCAGUCAACAGCCUUAGUAGUCUGCACAUGAUCGUUGAUAGUUUUAGAUAACACACAUAUGUUUAGUUUAGUUAUGUAAAACAGAUUUCUGUUUCAUUUUGGACUGUUUGAGCAGAAAUUUGAAAGUUUUGCAAUUGUAAAAAAGAACUAUUGUAUUUAGGUUCAUCUUAAAAAAACUUUCAGCAAUAAGUGUCAAUAAUACGGCAGCUUCUGUUUUGUUAUUUAUCUGUAUCAUCAAAUGUUUACUUCACUCUUGAAAUUUAAUACAGAAGCAUCAGUUAAUUUUUGAAUAUAGGUUAUAAGUUUGAAUAUAUGCUGGUUUUGCUCAAUUUACUAUAAAAAUAAGCAUUCAUUCUUCAAUAUGUUUUAAAAUUUGUCUCUGGUCUCAGUUGGUCUUUAGGCUAAACAGUGACUUUAAAUGAUAUUUUGACAUGUUGAAUCUAAGAUAUUUGCUUACAUUCAUUACCUGUCAAACAUCUGUAACCAGGUAGCAGUCAAAUUUUAAAAACAUUUAUUUCAAGGCAACUUAAGGCACUUUAUAGACACCUUUUCAGGAACCAAAUAUCACUUUUGAAAAUUCAUCUAUAUGUCAUAUAAAAAAACCAAAUUCAGAUAUGUCAGCAGUUUCUUGCAAUACUUUUAAAAUAUGUUUAAAAUAUAAAAAAAAGAUAAUGUGGUAAGAUUGCCAAUGAGACAACCGUCAACAAGAGACCAUAAUGACACAGAAAUUAACAACUACUGGUCACUGUAUGGCCUUCAGCAAGGUGCAAAUCCCAUGAUGUAUAAUUUGAAGAAAAUCAUUGUUUAAAGAAAAAUAUGAAUUUAUAUAGGAAAAUACUCGCACUUAAUUUCUAUAUUUGUUUAUAAAUAAUGAUUUUUCAGUAAUGACAUACCAUUAGAAUAUUACAUAAUUAAUAUAGAAAACUGUACUUAACAGCAAAAUCUGGUGAAUAUUAGACCUUAAAUAAACAGAGAAGAUAUUACUAAGUUGUAAAACUUAUCUGUAAUCUAUUAGUCUUUUUGAUUGAUAAAAUAUACUAACUUUAAACUACAAAAAACAAUAUUGGUGGAUAUAUCUGAUAAAUGUCCUCGUUUGUAAUUUAGUAUCAUUUAAUAUUUUUUCUGGUUUCCAAUGGAAUUAUUUAUUAGAAAUAGUAUAUUUAGUAUGUAAAAUUGUAAAUGUAUAUAUAUUUUUGAUUGUUAAAAUUUAAUUUACUGCAUUAAAAUGUGAAAAAAAUAUUACAAAGAUAAUGUAAUAAAUAUUAGCGAUUUGAUUUUUCAAAUUAAUCAAAAUUCUGACCAAGUGACUAACCAAAUGAAAUAAGACCUGAAUUCUGCCACUUUGUAAUUCAUGUACUAGACAUAUAUUGCUGUUAAUUGGUACCUUGUAAUUUGUUGACAUUUAUUUUGGCAUGAUAUAGAAUUAUUAGGUUAAUGAAUAAUUGGAGACUAGUUAAAGGUAAUAUCUGAUACACUCACACAAGAAUUCAUUGUAUAUAGUAAGUAUCUAGAUGGUUAAUGUAUGGGCUGUCUUUCAAUUCA